This 216-nucleotide ribosomal RNA is filed under the name uncultured bacterium. RNAcentral describes it as "partial 16S ribosomal RNA". It matches the Rfam family "Bacterial small subunit ribosomal RNA", at positions 1285 to 1500 of the family's 1533-position model. The record is from RNAcentral.
GUCCCAGUUCGGAUUGUAGUCUGCAACUCGACUACAUGAAGCUGGAAUCGCUAGUAAUCGCGAAUCAGAAUGUCGCGGUGAAUACGUUCCCGGGUCUUGUACACACCGCCCGUCACACCAUGGGAGUCGGAAAUGCCCGAAGUCAGUGACCUAACCGAAAGGAAGGAGCUGCCGAAGGUGGAGCCGGUAACUGGGGUGAAGUCGUAACAAGGUAUC